RNAcentral lists this ribosomal RNA (103 nucleotides) under Marosatherina ladigesi. Its description in RNAcentral is "partial 12S ribosomal RNA". Lineage: Eukaryota; Metazoa; Chordata; Actinopteri; Atheriniformes; Telmatherinidae. The record is from RNAcentral.
UCGCUUAGGGUGGGCAGUCACUUAUGUACUUAUUAGACAGGAGAGAUAUUAUAAGUAAAGGGGAGGCAAGUAGUGACAUGGUAAGUGUACCGGAAGGUGUACU